CCUACGGGAGGCAGCAGUGGGGAAUCUUGCGCAAUGGGGGCAACCCUGACGCAGCCAUGCCGCGUGAAUGAUGAAGGCCUUAGGGUUGUAAAGUUCUUUUGCCCGUGACGAUGAUGACGGUAACGGGAGAAUAAGCUCCGGCUAACUUCGUGCCAGCAGCCGCGGUAAUACGAAGGGGGCUAGCGUUGUUCGGAAUUACUGGGCGUAAAGCGCGCGCAGGCGGUUCGAUAAGUUAGGGGUGAAAUCCCUGGGCUCAACCCAGGAAUGGCCUUUAAGACUGUCGAGCUAGAGGACGAGAGAGGUGAGUGGAAUUCCCAGUGUAGAGGUGAAAUUCGUAGAUAUUGGGAAGAACACCGGUGGCGAAGGCGGCUCACUGGCUCGUUUCUGACGCUGAGGCGCGAAAGCGUGGGGAGCAAACAGGAUUAGAUACCCUGGUAGUCCACGCCCUAAACGAUGAGUGCCAGGUGUCGGGAAGCUUAGCUUCUCGGCGCCGCAGCUAACGCCUUAAGCACUCCGCCUGGGGAGUACGGCCGCAAGGUUAAAACUCAAAGGAUUAGUACGGCGUGUAGAGUUGCGACGACGACGACGAGGAGGAGGNG
Molecule: ribosomal RNA, 599 nt
Filed under: uncultured bacterium
Lineage: Bacteria
Description: bacterial SSU rRNA
Rfam family: Bacterial small subunit ribosomal RNA
Source: RNAcentral